UGACAAUAUAGCGCAACAAAUUCUGAACUUUGACAUACCAGAGUCAAAUGAACUAGGACAACAGGAAAUCAUUUCACUAUGCAAUCUGCGCAAUCAAGAACUUGAAAACCAAUCAUACCUCUUUCACAUAAAGAAAAAGGCCGCCGCACCAUCCCAAACAGAAACACAUACUUACACACUUAUGUCUGCUUCCAAAGAAAACAAAGAUAAGGAAAUUGCUGCCGAAGAAACAUUGUCAAAGAACCACCCUAUUGUACCCAAACACACUGGGAUAACACCUGAAAUGCAGGAGAAGGCAACCUGCACAACUGCUACCUUAGAAUCAUCUGUUCCUGGUAAGAACAACAAUAUAUCAUCCUAACAAUA
Andrographis paniculata is the source of this 366-nucleotide long non-coding RNA. RefSeq lists it as uncharacterized. The record is from RefSeq and is a predicted model, not a curated record. NCBI's taxonomy places the organism in Eukaryota, Viridiplantae, Streptophyta, Magnoliopsida, Lamiales, Acanthaceae. The transcript has 3 exons.